UACGUAGGGGGCUAGCGUUGUCCGGAAUCAUUGGGCGUAAAGAGCGUGUAGGCGGUCCGGUAAGUCCGCUGUGAAAGUCGGGGGCUCAACCCUCGAAUGCCGGUGGAUACUGUCGGGCUAGAGUGCGGAAGAGGCGAGUGGAAUUCCUGGUGUAGCGGUGAAAUGCGCAGAUAUCAGGAGGAACACCUAUUGCGAAGGCAGCUCGCUGGGACGUAACUGACGCUGAGACGCGAAAGCGUGGGUAGCAAACGGG
Molecule: ribosomal RNA, 253 nt
Filed under: uncultured bacterium
Lineage: Bacteria
Description: partial 16S ribosomal RNA
Rfam family: Bacterial small subunit ribosomal RNA
Source: RNAcentral